AUGGGCUCCAGACUCCUUCCCUGGGUGCUGCUGUAUCUUCUGGGAGCAGGCCCUUUGGAGGCUGAAGUCACCCAAACUCCAAGACACCUGAUCAAAAGGACGGGACAGACAGCAACCCUGAAAUGUUCUCCUAUGUCUGGGCACAGCAGUGUAUCUUGGUACCAACAGGCCUGGAGUCAGGGCCCCCAGUUCAUCUUUGAGUUUUAUGAAACUCAGCCAAGAGCUAAAGGAAACUUUUCGAGUCGGUUCUCAGCAAAACAGUUCCACGACUUUAGCUCUGAGCUGAACGUGACCUCCUUGGAGCUGACAGACUCCGCCCUGUACCUCUGUGCCAGCAGCUUGGCACAGCUGUGCUGAGUCACCCGCACUCUGCGCAC
Non-coding RNA from Odocoileus virginianus texanus, 377 nucleotides. Lineage: Eukaryota; Metazoa; Chordata; Mammalia; Artiodactyla; Cervidae. The record is from the annotation of a RefSeq genome assembly.